UACGUAGGGGGCAAGCGUUGUCCGGAUUUAUUGGGCGUAAAGAGCGUGUAGGCGGCUUUACAGGUCCGUUGUGAAAACUCGAGGCUCAACCUCGAGACGCCGGUGGAAACCGUAAAGCUAGAGUCCGGAAGAGGAGAGUGGAAUUCCUGGUGUAGCGGUGAAAUGCGCAGAUAUCAGGAAGAACACCCGUGGCGAAGGCGGCUCUCUGGGACGGUACUGACGCUGAGACGCGAAGGCCAGGGGAGCAAACGGG
Molecule: ribosomal RNA, 253 nt
Filed under: uncultured bacterium
Lineage: Bacteria
Description: partial 16S ribosomal RNA
Rfam family: Bacterial small subunit ribosomal RNA
Source: RNAcentral